This 221-nucleotide long non-coding RNA is filed under the name Elaeis guineensis (African oil palm). RNAcentral describes it as "long non-coding RNA (EGUI_LNC023142)". The record is from RNAcentral. Lineage: Eukaryota; Viridiplantae; Streptophyta; Magnoliopsida; Arecales; Arecaceae.
UGGCACGAAUAUAAAUAUAGCAAGACUAUUAUAGAAGCUAGUAAUUUCUCUUUACAAGCCACUAUAAUGCUUGGAUUUAACUUGGAUCGUGGCCACCGUUCAAAUUAAACAUCCAAAUUUUUUCAUAGAUGGAUAUAUUCACUUGAAUUUUAGUUUUUGACUCAUACUGCAAUGCCAACAACUUUUUAGCUCACUCCCUCUUAGAAAAUAUAUCUAUGGAA